ACAGCAGGGCACACCUGAAGAAGCUGGUCUUUUUGCCCUGGGAUGGAGCCGUGAUCCGCACCGCGUUACUGUCAGGGGUGUUGUUUCCUUCCUGCGUAGCACAAUGGACCGACAGUCGAAGGUCAUGGUGGUAAAAGGACCACACGUCACGAGUCACAGCAGGGCGGAAGAACUGGGGCAAAGGUCAUGGGGGGCCCCAUCUGAAAGCCCCUGGAACCUGAUAGUGGGUUCGAGAAGGGAGGCGCGGCCAGGGCGGAGCCAGGCCACGCUGCGAGGAUAAAAGGGGUCGAGAGCGGG
This is a long non-coding RNA of Lethenteron reissneri (Far Eastern brook lamprey), 297 nucleotides long. RefSeq lists it as uncharacterized. Lineage: Eukaryota; Metazoa; Chordata; Hyperoartia; Petromyzontiformes; Petromyzontidae. The record is from RefSeq and is a predicted model, not a curated record.